Molecule: ribosomal RNA, 638 nt
Filed under: uncultured bacterium
Lineage: Bacteria
Description: bacterial SSU rRNA
Rfam family: Bacterial small subunit ribosomal RNA
Source: RNAcentral
GCCCCGCGGUGCAUUAGCUAGUUGGUAAGGUAAAGGCUUACCAAGGCGAUGAUGCAUAGCCGAGUUGAGAGACUGAUCGGCCACAUUGGGACUGAGACACGGCCCAAACUCCUACGGGAGGCAGCAGUAGGGAAUCUUCCACAAUGGACGCAAGUCUGAUGGAGCAACGCCGCGUGAGUGAAGAAGGUUUUCGGAUCGUAAAGCUCUGUUGUUGGUGAAGAAGGAUAGAGGUAGUAACUGGCCUUUAUUUGACGGUAAUCAACCAGAAAGUCACGGCUAACUACGUGCCAGCAGCCGCGGUAAUACGUAGGUGGCAAGCGUUGUCCGGAUUUAUUGGGCGUAAAGCGAGCGCAGGCGGAAGAAUAAGUCUGAUGUGAAAGCCCUCGGCUUAACCGAGGAACUGCAUCGGAAACUGUUUUUCUUGAGUGCAGAAGAGGAGAGUGGAACUCCAUGUGUAGCGGUGGAAUGCGUAGAGAUGUGGAGGAACACCAGUGGCGAAGGCGGCUCUUUGGUCUGUAACUGACGCUGAGGCGCGAAAGCGUGGGGAGCAAACAGGAUUAGAUACCCUGGUAGUCCACGCCGUAAACGAUGAGUGCUAAGUGUUAGGGGGUUUCCGCCCCUUAGUGCUGCAGCAAACG